RNAcentral lists this ribosomal RNA (497 nucleotides) under uncultured bacterium. Its description in RNAcentral is "partial 16S ribosomal RNA". It matches the Rfam family "Bacterial small subunit ribosomal RNA", at positions 28 to 507 of the family's 1533-position model. The record is from RNAcentral.
GAUGAACGCUGGCGGCGUGCCUAACACAUGCAAGUCGAGCGAACAGACGAGGAUCUUGCUCCUCUGACGUUAGCGGCGGACGGGUGAGUAACACGUGGAUAACCUACCUAUAAGACUGGGAUAACUUCGGGAAACCGGAUCUAACACCGGAUAAUAUAUUGAACCGCAUGGUUCAUUGGUGAAAGACGGUUUUGCUGGCACUUAUAGAUGUUUCCGCGCCGCAUUAGCUAGUUGGUACGGUAACGGCUUACCAAGGCUACGAUGCGUAGCCGACCUGAGAGGGUGAUCGGCCACACUGGAACUGAGACACGGUCCAGACUCCUACGGGAGGCAGCAGUAGGGAAUCUUCCGCAAAGGGCGAAAGCCUGACGGAGCAACGCCGCGUGAGUGAUGAAGGUCUUCGGAUCGUAAAACUCUGUUAUUAGGGAAGAACAAAUGUGUAAGUAACUAUGCACGUCUUGACGGUACCUAAUCAGAAAGCCACGGCUAACUACGUG